AAGCAGCUUACCUACUCUUGAAACCCGGAUAGCAAAGCAUUGAGAUUGUUCUGGAAGCAUUUGUAGUCACAGCUCAUUAAGCAUCCCCCUGAAGCAGGACCCUCAGUCUACGGACGCCAAUUGACGAAAUAAAACUUGUCAUUCAGCAACACAGCCAGUUGCAGCAGUUGUUACCAUAUUGACCCCAGUCAAAACUAGGAGCUCAGAGAUAACACAGCCAGUUGCAGCAGUUGUUACCGUAUGGACCCCAGUCAAAACAAGGAGCUCAGAGAUAAAUACUGUUUAAGAAAGAUAUUCUCUACAUUCCUCAUGGUCAGCCAACACAGCCAGUUGCAGCAGUUGUUACCAUAUUGACCCCAGUCAAAACUAGGAGCUCAGAGACAAUCAGCAACACAGCCAGUUGCAGCAGUUGUUACCGUAUGACCCCAGUCAAAACUAGGAGCUCAGAGAUAAAUACUGUUUAAGAUAGAUAUUCUCUACAUUCCUCAUGGUCAGGCAACACAGCCAGUUGCAGCAGUUGUUACCAUCUUGACCCCAGUCAAAACUAAGAGCUCAGAGACAAUCAGCAACACAGCCAGUUGCAGCAGUUGUUACCAUAUUGACCCCAGUCAAAACUAGGAGCUCAGAGACAAUCAGCAACACAGCCAGUUGCAGCAGUUGUUACCGUAUUGACCCCAGUCAAAACUAAGAGCUCAGAGACAAUCAGCAACACAGCCAGUUGCAGCAGUUGUUAACAAAUUGACCCCAGUCAAAACUAGGAGCUCAGAGACAAUCAGCAACACAGCCAUUUGCAGCAGUUGUUACCAUAGUGACCCCAGUCAAAACUAGGAGCUCAGAGAUAAAUACUGUUUAAGAUAGAUAUUCUCUACAUUCCUCAUGGUCAGGCAACACAGCCAGUUGCAGCAGUUGUUACCGUAUUGACCCGAGUCAAAACUAGGAGCACAGAGACAAUCAGCAACACAGCCAGUUGCAGCAGUUGUUACCAAAUUGACCCCAGUCAAAACUAGGAGCUCAGAGACAAUCAGCAACACAGCCAGUUGCAGCAGUUGUUACCGUAUGACCCCAGUCAAAACUAGGAGCUCAGAGACAAUCAGCAACACAGCAAGUUGCAGCAGUUGUUACCGUAUGACCCCAGUCAAAACUAAGAGCUCAGAGACAAUCAGCAACACAGCAAGUUGCAGCAGUUGUUACCAUAUUGAACCCAGUCAAAACUAAGAGCUCAGAGACAAUCAGCAACACAGCCAGUUGCAGCAGUUGUUACCGUAUGACCCCAGUCAAAACUAAGAGCUCAGAGACAAUCAGCAACACAGCCAGUUGCAGCAGUUGUUACCAUAUUGACCCCAGUCAAAACUAGGAGCUCAGAGACAAUCAGCAACACAGCCAGUUGCAGCAGUUGUUACCAAAUUGACCCCAGUUACAACUAGGAGCUCAGAGACAAUCAGCAACACAGCCAG
This is a long non-coding RNA of Dreissena polymorpha, 1454 nucleotides long. RefSeq lists it as uncharacterized. The transcript has 3 exons. The record is from RefSeq and is a predicted model, not a curated record. NCBI's taxonomy places the organism in Eukaryota, Metazoa, Mollusca, Bivalvia, Myida, Dreissenidae.